This 935-nucleotide ribosomal RNA is filed under the name uncultured bacterium. RNAcentral describes it as "bacterial SSU rRNA". It matches the Rfam family "Bacterial small subunit ribosomal RNA", at positions 8 to 923 of the family's 1533-position model. The record is from RNAcentral.
AGAGUUUGAUCAUGGCUCAGGAUGAACGCUAGCGACAGGCCUAACACAUGCAAGUCGAGGGGCAUCGGGACGUAGCAAUACGUUGCCGGCGACCGGCGGAUGGGUGAGUAACGCGUAUGCAACCUACCCGUAGCAGGGGGAUAGCCCGUUGAAAGACGGAUUAAUACCCCGUAACACAGGGGCUCCGCAUGGAGAUUAUUGUUAAAGGGUCAUUUCUUUUAGAGGUGGUCCGGCUACGGAUGGGCAUGCGUUCCAUUAGGUAGUUGGUGUAGGUAACGGCUCACCAAGCCGACGAUGGAUAGGGGAACUGAGAGGUUGGUCCCCCACACUGGUACUGAGACACGGACCAGACUCCUACGGGAGGCAGCAGUGAGGAAUCUUGGUCAAUGGACGCAAGUCUGAACCAGCCAUGUCGCGUGAAGGAGGACGGCCCUAAGGGUUGUAAACUUCUUUUGCAGUGGAAUAAAGUUUGCCACGAGUUGGCGAUUUGCAAGUACGCUGCGAAUAAGGAUCGGCUAACUCCGUGCCAGCAGCCGCGGUAAUACGGAGGAUCCGGGCGUUAUCCGGAUUUAUUGGGUUUAAAGGGUGCGCAGGCGGGGAAUUAGGUCGGCGGUGAAAUUUCGGGGCUCAACCUCGACAGUGCCGUUGAAACCGUUUCUCUUGAGUGCGGAUGAGGUAGGCGGAAUUUGUGGUGUAGCGGUGAAAUGCGUAGAUAUCACAAGGAACACCGAUUGCGGAGGCAGCUUACUAAACCGUUACUGACGCUCAUGCACGAANGCGUGGGGAUCAAACAGGAUUAGAUACCCUGGUAGUCCACGCAGUAAACGAUGAUUACUUGCUGUUUGCGAUACACAGUAAGCGGCGCAGCGAAAGCGUUAAGUAAUCCACCUGGGGAGUACGUUCGCAGAUGAACUCAAGGAAUUGACGGGGCCGCA